CGGCCGCGUCGACAUCUCUGCAAACAUGUAAAUGGAUGUAUAGGGAUUGACACCUGCCCAGUGCUGGAAGGUUAAAAGGAGAGGUUAGCGUAAGCGAAGCUUCGAAUUGAAGCCCCGGUAAACGGCGGCCGUAACAAUAACGGUCCUAAGGUAGCGAAAUUCCUUGUCGGGUAAGUUCCGACCUGCACGAAUGGCGUAACGAUCUCCCCGCUGUCUCAAAUGUGGACUCAGCGAAAUUGAAUUGUCUGUGAAGAUGCAGACUUCCCGCGGUUAGACGGAAAGACCCCAUGCACCUUUACUAUAGCUUCGCACUGGCAUCAGGAUUGUGAUGUGCAGGAUAGGUGGUAGGCUUUGAAGCGGGGACGCCAGUU
Molecule: ribosomal RNA, 371 nt
Filed under: uncultured Pseudomonas sp.
Lineage: Bacteria; Pseudomonadati; Pseudomonadota; Gammaproteobacteria; Pseudomonadales; Pseudomonadaceae
Description: bacterial LSU rRNA
Rfam family: Bacterial large subunit ribosomal RNA
Source: RNAcentral